UGCCAGACUCCUACGGGAGGCAGCAGUGGGGAAUAUUGCACAAUGGGGGAAACCCUGAUGCAGCGACGCCGCGUGAGCGAUGAAGUAUUUCGGUAUGUAAAGCUCUAUCAGCAGGGAAGAAAAUGACGGUACCUGACUAAGAAGCCCCGGCUAACUACGUGCCAGCAGCCGCGGUAAUACGUAGGGGGCAAGCGUUAUCCGGAUUCACUGGGCGUAAAGGGAGCGCAGGCGGCACGGCAAGUCUGGUGUGAAAGCCCGGGGCCCAACCCCGGGACUGCAUUGGAAACUGCCGGGCUGGAGUGCCGGAGGGGCAAGCGGAAUUCCUGGUGUAGCGGUGAAAUGCGCAGAUAUCAGGAAGAACACCGGUGGCGCAGGCGGCUUGCUGGACGGCAACUGACGCUGAGGCUCGAAAGCGUGGGGAGCAAACAGGAUUAGAUACCCGGGUA
Molecule: ribosomal RNA, 446 nt
Filed under: uncultured bacterium
Lineage: Bacteria
Description: bacterial SSU rRNA
Rfam family: Bacterial small subunit ribosomal RNA
Source: RNAcentral